RNAcentral lists this ribosomal RNA (248 nucleotides) under uncultured bacterium. Its description in RNAcentral is "partial 16S ribosomal RNA". It matches the Rfam family "Bacterial small subunit ribosomal RNA", at positions 523 to 769 of the family's 1533-position model. The record is from RNAcentral.
AUACGUAGGUGGCAAGCGUUGUCCGGAUUUAUUGGGCGUAAAGCGAGCGCAGGCGGUUUCUUAAGUCUGAUGUGAAAGCCCCCGGCUCAACCGGGGAGGGUCAUUGGAAACUGGGAGACUUGAGUGCAGAAGAGGAGAGUGGAAUUCCAUGUGUAGCGGUGAAAUGCGUAGAUAUAUGGAGGAACACCAGUGGCGAAGGCGGCUCUCUGGUCUGUAACUGACGCUGAGGCUACGAAAGCGUGGGGAGC